GGGAUGACUCAGAGGGUAGAGUGCAUGUCUUGUAUGCUUAAUGCCCUAGGUUAGAUUCCUAGCAUCUCA
Molecule: transfer RNA, 69 nt
Filed under: Erinaceus europaeus (western European hedgehog)
Lineage: Eukaryota; Metazoa; Chordata; Mammalia; Eulipotyphla; Erinaceidae
Rfam family: tRNA
About the family: Transfer RNA (tRNA) molecules are approximately 80 nucleotides in length. Their secondary structure includes four short double-helical elements and three loops (D, anti-codon, and T loops).
Source: Rfam by way of RNAcentral